RNAcentral lists this microRNA precursor (76 nucleotides) under Myotis lucifugus (little brown bat). RNAcentral's name for it is "mir-9229 microRNA precursor family". It matches the Rfam family "mir-9229 microRNA precursor family". Lineage: Eukaryota; Metazoa; Chordata; Mammalia; Chiroptera; Vespertilionidae. The record is from Rfam by way of RNAcentral.
GAGACACCCUUCUGGGGCAAGACUUGCUUCAGUGGGGCUUUGGUGCUCACUGAGUCUUCCCCCUGAGUGUGACCUU